RNAcentral lists this ribosomal RNA (500 nucleotides) under uncultured bacterium. RNAcentral describes it as "partial 16S ribosomal RNA". It matches the Rfam family "Bacterial small subunit ribosomal RNA", at positions 30 to 523 of the family's 1533-position model. The record is from RNAcentral.
AUUGAACGCUGGCGGAAUGCUUUACACAUGCAAGUCGAACGGCAGCACGGACUUCGGUCUGGUGGCGAGUGGCGAACGGGUGAGUAAUGUAUCGGAACGUGCCCAGUCGUGGGGGAUAACGUAGUGAGAAUUACGCUAAUACCGCAUACGAUCUAUGGAUGAAAGCGGGGGAUCGCAAGACCUCGCGCGAUUGGAGCGGCCGAUAUCAGAUUAGGUAGUUGGUGGGGUAAAGGCCCACCAAGCCAACGAUCUGUAGCUGGUCUGAGAGGACGACCAGCCACACUGGAACUGAGACACGGUCCAGACUCCUACGAGAGGCAGCAGUGGGGAAUUUUGGACAAUGGGCGAAAGCCUGAUCCAGCCAUUCCGCGUGCAGGAUGAAGGCCCUCGGGUUGUAAACUGCUUUUGUACAGAACGAAAAGGUUUCUACUAAUACUAGGAGCUCAUGACGGUACUAUAAGAAUAAGCACCGGCUAACUACGUGCCAGCCGCCGCAGUAA